AAGAAAAUGCGGGGGAGCCGCUUGGCUGAGAGUCCGGUGUGAUACUGGAGACCCCUUGAACCUGAUGCGGGUAAUGCCGCCGAAGGAAGCGAGGUAGCCAUGCGU
Molecule: non-coding RNA, 105 nt
Organism: Verrucomicrobia bacterium 13_2_20CM_55_10
Lineage: Bacteria; Pseudomonadati; Verrucomicrobiota
Source: Rfam